GCUGGGAGUUGUGGCGUACUCCUGUAAUCCAGCUACUUGGAGGCCAGGUGUUCCGAUCGCAAUACAAUUGUGAUCAGAAGGCCUCN
RNAcentral lists this non-coding RNA (86 nucleotides) under Zootermopsis nevadensis. The record is from RNAcentral. Lineage: Eukaryota; Metazoa; Arthropoda; Insecta; Blattodea; Termopsidae.